UAAAAGCAACUUUUUAUUUACAAUAAAAAGGUUACAAAGGCAUAUAUACUUAUAUAUAUUUAUAUAAUACCCUUAAGUUACAAAUUUUCAUUGUAAUAUACAAUGUUAUAUGUCGAUGUGCAACCCAAGGGAAGUGUUGUCUAAGCAUCUAUAUUGAGAGAAUACACAUAAAGCCUUUUAAAAAGAACACAGACUGCUCUGUUUUAUGUCAUGGGUCUUUGAUUUGGUAGCCAGAAGACUUGAAAAAAAAUUUUUUUUUUUUGGUUCUUUUUUUCGGAGCUGGGGACCGAACCCAGGGCCUUGCGCUUCCUAGGCAAGCGCUCUACCACUGAGCUAAAUCCCCAACCCCAGACUUGAAAAUUUUUAAAUAAGACUUGUAUAGAGGUCUCAUUCAAAUAAAGGAUUAUAAAAAGAAAAACAAAAGCAACACCCAAAACAACACCAAAACAAUCAGUUGGUACAAAUGGGAUAUUUUUGUUGUUGAGGUUUUUGUGUUUGUUUGUUUUGAGGGGCAGUUUCGAAUGCCUACGCUGGCUUGUUAUUUACUAUGUAACUGUGGAUGGCUUCUUCCCACCUCCCACCUUCCAAAUGAGUGCUGGGUUUAUAGAUGUGGCCAGCCACAUCUGGUUUUCUAUGGUGCUGUGGAUAGACCUCAGGGCUUCCUGUAUUCAGGCAAGCGUUCUUCUGGGCUAAUCAGCAGCCUCACUUAAGCUAGCUUUCUAAAUCUUUACACUUAACAAGAAUGAGUAGUGAGAGAACAAAUACAUGUACAUGGGCAUUAGCAGAGUGUGCACAGGAGGAAGAAAGUAGGUUAUGCUCUGUAAGACUUCAGAUCUGGCAUGAAGAAGAGGGUUGUUUGGGCACUGGGGCCUGCAGGCUUACCUCGGCCGACAGACUAACAGUAACACUGGUAUCCCAUACUGAGAUCACACAGACCUCAGCUUUCCUCUCUCCAGAAUCCUACUAAAUCAGAAAACACCAACAAGGAGAUGUAAAAAAUACCCGUGUUAACAGGACUCAACAGAAGGAAAGCCCGUCUUUGGCCCCCCGCACUCGAUGUACAGCAGUAUUACCAUAUGCUGGUUUUGAUAAAACACAGUCAUCGGCACCUGACUGUAAAGGGCAGCUUUGAGAGCAAGACACUCAAGUCCCUACAGUUCACAGUCACCAGUCCUCACGGGUGACUUCAACACACUUGCAAACAAGGGGCGGGAGCCAUGCAACUACAUAAUCUGGCCAAGCCCAGCACAGAGAGCGAGGUGCUUUCAGGGAAUGGUUUGAAAAGCUGAUCUCACAGGCCAACAAAAAACAGCAUGGAGUGACAGGGACAGUCACUUCAGGAAAAUCCAGCCGACCCGUCUCUCUCUCUCUGGGUCUUUUCCACUGAGUUUGAAUGUUAGUGUGUUCUUUUUUUUUUUUUUUUUUUUUUUGGUUCUUUUUUUCGGAGCUGGGGACCGAACCCAGGGCCUUGCGCUUCCUAGGUAAGCACUCUACCACUGAGCUAAAUCCCCAGACCCUAGUGUGUUCUUGAAUAAGCGGAAUUGUGCUAAUUUUUAGGACUUAUUUCUAUAUUGUAUGUAUAUGGGUGUUUUGUCUACAUGUACAUCUGACACUAGAAAGGGGCACUGGAUCCCACAGUACUACGAUUAGAGAAGGCUGUGAGCUAUCACGUGGGUGCGGACAAUUAAAGCCAGAGCCUCUAAAAGAGCAGUCAAUGCUCGAACCACUGAGCACCUCUCCACACCUGCACUCUUGCUAAUUUUUAAUGCAAUUGUUGUUUAUUAAUGGAGAAAAACUCCAGCUAUAAUGUGUAAGGACCUUAAGAAAGCAAGAUGCAGCCAGUGGUGGUGAUGCCAGGCAGAGGCAGGUAGAUCUCUUGUGAGUUUGAGGUUACCCUGGGCUACAGAUCUGUUACAGAACAGUCAGAGUUACACAGAGAGACUCUGUCAAAAGAACAAGGACAAAAAAAGCAAAAACAAACAAAAAACAAAAAAUAAAAACAAAACUGCCCAAAACAUGCUUAAAAACUCCAGAGAUGCUUAAAUCGUAAAUACAGAAAUGAAUAGUCAGUAAUGUUCAGAAAUAAACCUUUCUGCCCAUUUAAAAUAAUAAAAAGGCUAUUAAUCUACUGUUGGCAAUAAAGAUUAAUCUUUCAUUUUGUGAUUUAUCUUAUUGAGGGACCGACAAUAUUUUCCGUCCCAAACUAAAGUCUAAGUUUUCAUUGAGAAAUGAGGUAAGCCCAGCUUCCUUAACACUCACCUGCCCGAGCUGACACGGGCAGGGCCUUUAAACAGUUGUUUGCCCGGGAAGUCCGAUGCUGGAAAGACAGCACAGCGAGCAGGAACUGAGGCUGCUUUGCCAGAGGACCUGUCCUGCUCCCAGCACCCAUGUGGCAGCCCAUAACCACCUCCAACUCCUGUUCCAGGCCUCUGCACAGAUGUAGCUCACAUAUAUGCAGGUAAAGCAACCACACACAUAAAGGAGAAACAGAGUAGUUCAUAAAGAGAGGCUGUGGUUGACUGGGCAAUAGAGGGUAUAAGGCCACCGAAUCUACAAGUGUCUCCCCGCCGCAUACAUUUCACUGUGAGUGGGUGCUCUAGCAGGAGUGCUCAGAGGCUAACUUCUGGGUGGCAGUUCUCUACUUCUACCAUGUGGAGUCUGGGCGCUGAGUUCAGGUAGUCAACCCUGGCUGCACGUGCCUUUGCCUGCUGGGACAUCUUGCAGGCCCUACAAGUUCCUUUGCGAUCAUUCAGCAAUGCUUGUUAAAUGAAACGUAGGGAUGGAUAUACCACGGACUAGUGUGGAAGUCUACAUUCCCAGAGAACCUUUUGUCUUCUGUGGCUUCAGAAGGGUGACAGAGCCACAAGGCCGAGUGACUAUGGAAUGGAGAAGUCAGUGCAAGGCUGAGGCGAGAAGUCUAGUCAGGGAUCUCAGUCCUACAGGAAGUGAUGGAAUAUCUUUCACAGGGUUUACCUGCACAGCUUUUGUCGGUGCUUGCUUUAAAAAA
Long non-coding RNA from Rattus norvegicus (Norway rat), 3007 nucleotides. The record is from Ensembl. Lineage: Eukaryota; Metazoa; Chordata; Mammalia; Rodentia; Muridae.